Theobroma cacao (cacao) is the source of this 331-nucleotide non-coding RNA. The record is from RefSeq and is a predicted model, not a curated record. NCBI's taxonomy places the organism in Eukaryota, Viridiplantae, Streptophyta, Magnoliopsida, Malvales, Malvaceae.
CAAGCAAGGAAAAUUGGACAUGAUCCAAUAAAGGAAGAAUGGACAUGACCCAAUUAAAAAGACAUGGGAGAAGUCCAUGAAUAAGAGUCCAAAAACAACAAAGGAAGAAAAAUCCAAAAGAAAAGGAAGGUGGAGAUUUGGGCCAACCUAGCUUAAUUGGGAAAGCGUGUUGAACGAAGUAGGUGACGGGCGAUUAGGUAUAAUUAUAUGCAUAUACGAAGUAAUAGCGAUGUAGAAAUCCCGCUAUUGUGAGGAUCAGAGUAAGCUGUAAAUAGCUGAUUCCAUUGAGGGCUUCUAUUGGAUUAGCGUCCUCCACACAGUAGGUUCACAG